Pistacia vera is the source of this 308-nucleotide long non-coding RNA. RefSeq lists it as uncharacterized. The record is from RefSeq and is a predicted model, not a curated record. The transcript has 3 exons. Lineage: Eukaryota; Viridiplantae; Streptophyta; Magnoliopsida; Sapindales; Anacardiaceae.
AGAAGAUGCAGAAAAAGAAUGAAUAGGAGUGGAAACCAAGGUGAGGGACAACCGAGAUUCAAGAGUCCAAAGAAAGAAGCAAGUGGGAUCAGGAUUCAUCAUAACAUCUUCUUUGUCCAACCCCAUUGCCCUACUAUAUCUACCAGGUGGGUCAUCUCUGCCGGAGGUUAUUGUCAUAUGUUUGGCUCCAUGGCUGCUGCUUGAUUUUGUUGCUUCUGAUAAGGAUUAGCGUACAUUUUCAUCGUAUAUAUAUAUGAACUUAAUAAUUAAAUCAAUGUCGAAUAUUAUGUGUUUAUAUGUUACUGUUA